ACAGCAUUUUUGCUGUAAUUACAAAAACAAAUAAUACCUCUAACUAGAACGUACCUUGAGCAUAUAUGCUGUAACCCGAAAGAUGGUGAACUAUACUUGAUCAGGUUGAAGUCAGGGGAAACCCUGGUGGAAGACCGAAACAGUUCUGACGUGCAAAUCGAUUGUCAGAAUUGAUUAUAGGGGCGAAAGACUAAUCGAACCAUCUAGUAGCUGG
RNAcentral lists this non-coding RNA (214 nucleotides) under Glossina pallidipes. RNAcentral's name for it is "eukaryotic large subunit ribosomal RNA". It matches the Rfam family "Eukaryotic large subunit ribosomal RNA", at positions 740 to 954 of the family's 3401-position model. The record is from RNAcentral. Lineage: Eukaryota; Metazoa; Arthropoda; Insecta; Diptera; Glossinidae.